GCCGGGCAUGGUGGCACAUGCCUGUAAUCCCAACUACUCAGGAGGCUGAGGCAGCAGAAUCGCUUGAACCCGGGAGGCAGAGGUUGCAGUGAGCUGAGAUUGCGCCACUGCACUCCAGCCUGGGUGACAGAGCGAGACUCUGUCUCAA
This 148-nucleotide non-coding RNA is filed under the name Pan troglodytes (chimpanzee). The record is from Rfam by way of RNAcentral. Lineage: Eukaryota; Metazoa; Chordata; Mammalia; Primates; Hominidae.